This 677-nucleotide long non-coding RNA is filed under the name Phoenix dactylifera (date palm). Its description in RNAcentral is "long non-coding RNA (PDAC_LNC005687)". The record is from RNAcentral. Lineage: Eukaryota; Viridiplantae; Streptophyta; Magnoliopsida; Arecales; Arecaceae.
AUAACAUAUGCCAACAUAAUUCAAAUGUCCAAACUAAACUAACUAAAAUGCCAAUAACUGAAGAAUCAUCGGAAACUCUAACGCACUCCCCAAUCCCGUGCGAUCAAGCCUCUGGAUCUGAAAAAUGGAGAAAAACAGAAUAAUGAGCUACACUAGCCUAGUAAGCAACAAAAUACCCCAGAGUGGGGUCAGAGCAUAUCAAAUCAAAAUACAGGAUAAUGUCUGAAAUAAAUCAUAAAUAACAUCGUUUUGUUGUUUUCAAAACUUAUUAUCAUUUUUCCAAAAACUCUUAUACCAGAAUCUCAACAUAAUAGGCUACGGCCACGUAACCCAGUGGCAUGGGUUGCACAGAGUGCCAGAAACCACUAUUGUUAGUCACCGGUGGAAACGGUGUCCAGAAACCACUAUUCUAAUCACCGGUGGCGCGGUGUCGAAAUCGGUUCCUCACAGAUUACAAGUCGACAGGUCCAACGUAUAAUCCCCAUUGGCGGGGCCAGAACAGAACAGAACAGAUCAUAGCCAUGCUGAGAAUAUAUAUAUAUAAAAAUAGCUUUCAUAAACUGUACAGGCAUGUUUCACGGAAUUCAGAGCAUAUAAUAUAAUUUUCAAAUAAAAUUUAAUAUGCCAGACCCAUUUUACUAAACACAAAACAUAUUUCAAAAUUUAAUCCAGUAAUA